UACAGAGGGUGCGAGCGUCGUUCGGAAUUAUUGGGCGUAAAGGGCGCGUAGGCGGUGCGGCAAGUCACCUGUGAAAACUCUGGGCUUAACCCAGAGCCUGCAUUCAAUACUGACAGGCUAGAGUUCUGGAGGGGAUAGCGGAAUUCCUGGUGUAGCGGUGAAAUGCGUAGAUAUCAGGAGGAACACCGGUGGCGAAGGCGGCUAUCUGGACAGAGUCUGACGCUGAGGCGCGAAAGCUAGGGGAGCAAACAGG
RNAcentral lists this ribosomal RNA (253 nucleotides) under uncultured bacterium. RNAcentral's name for it is "partial 16S ribosomal RNA". It matches the Rfam family "Bacterial small subunit ribosomal RNA", at positions 524 to 776 of the family's 1533-position model. The record is from RNAcentral.